RNAcentral lists this ribosomal RNA (1377 nucleotides) under metagenome. RNAcentral describes it as "bacterial SSU rRNA". It matches the Rfam family "Bacterial small subunit ribosomal RNA". The record is from RNAcentral.
AGAGUUUGAUCCUGGCUCAGGAUGAACGCUAGCGACAGGCCUAACACAUGCAAGUCGAGGGGUAACAGGGAGCUUGCUCCGCUGACGACCGGCGCACGGGUGCGUAACGCGUAUGCAACCUACCUUUUACUGGGGGAUAGCCCGAAGAAAUUCGGAUUAAUACCGCAUAACAUUAUUUGGUUUCAUGAUUGAAUAAUUAAAACUCCGGUGGUAAAAGAUGGGCAUGCGUGACAUUAGAUAGUUGGUGAGGUAACGGCUCACCAAGUCUACGAUGUCUAGGGGUUCUGAGAGGAAGAUCCCCCACACUGGUACUGAGACACGGACCAGACUCCUACGGGAGGCAGCAGUGAGGAAUAUUGGUCAAUGGGCGCAAGCCUGAACCAGCCAUGUCGCGUGUAGGAAGACUGCCCUAUGGGUUGUAAACUACUUUUGUAUGGGAAGAAAUAUAUCUACGUGUAGAUAUUUGCCGGUACCAUACGAAUAAGCACCGGCUAACUCCGUGCCAGCAGCCGCGGUAAUACGGAGGGUGCGAGCGUUAUCCGGAUUUAUUGGGUUUAAAGGGUGCGUAGGCGGAAUGAUAAGUCAGUGGUGAAAGUUUGUGGCUCAACCAUAAAAUUGCCUUUGAUACUGUCAUUCUUGAGUACAUUUGAGGUGGGCGGAAUGUGUUGUGUAGCGGUGAAAUGCAUAGAUAUAACACAGAACACCAAUUGCGAAGGCAGCUCACUAAACUGUAACUGACGCUGAUGCACGAAAGCGUGGGUAUCGAACAGGAUUAGAUACCCUGGUAGUCCACGCCGUAAACGAUGAUUACUAGUUGUUUGUGAUACACAAUAAGCGACAAAGCGAAAGCAUUAAGUAAUCCACCUGGGGAGUACGUUGGCAACAAUGAAACUCAAAGGAAUUGACGGGGGCCCGCACAAGCGGAGGAACAUGUGGUUUAAUUCGAUGAUACGCGAGGAACCUUACCUGGACUUAAAUGGGGAGUGACAGACUUAGAAAUAGGUUUUUCUUCGGACACUCUUCAAGGUGCUGCAUGGUUGUCGUCAGCUCGUGCCGUGAGGUGUCGGGUUAAGUCCCAUAACGAGCGCAACCCACGUUGUUAGUUACCAGCACAUAAUGGUGGGCACUCUAACAAGACUGCCGGUGUAAACCGCGAGGAAGGUGUGGAUGACGUCAAAUCAGCACGGCCCUUACGUCCAGGGCUACACACGUGUUACAAUGGCCGGUACAGAGGGCAGCUACUUGGUGACAAGAUGCGAAUCUCGAAAGCCGGUCUCAGUUCGGAUCGAAGUCUGCAACCCGACUUCGUGAAGCUGGAUUCGCUAGUAAUCGCAUAUCAGCCAUGAUGCGGUGAAUAGGUUCCCGGGCCUUGUACAC